GCCCCAGUAGCUCAGCCGGACAGAGCAACUGCCUUCUAAGCAGUGGGUCGCGCGUUCGAAUCGCGCCUGGGGUG
Molecule: transfer RNA, 74 nt
Filed under: Chloroflexota bacterium
Lineage: Bacteria; Bacillati; Chloroflexota
Also listed under: 2 other names
Description: Chloroflexi bacterium tRNA-Arg
Rfam family: tRNA
About the family: Transfer RNA (tRNA) molecules are approximately 80 nucleotides in length. Their secondary structure includes four short double-helical elements and three loops (D, anti-codon, and T loops). Further hydrogen bonds mediate the characteristic L-shaped molecular structure. tRNAs have two regions of fundamental functional importance: the anti-codon, which is responsible for specific mRNA codon recognition, and the 3' end, to which the tRNAs corresponding amino acid is attached (by aminoacyl-tRNA synthetases). tRNAs cope with the degeneracy of the genetic code in two manners: having more than one tRNA (with a specific anti-codon) for a particular amino acid; and 'wobble' base-pairing, i.e. permitting non-standard base-pairing at the 3rd anti-codon position.
Source: RNAcentral